GAAAAAAAAAAAAGAAAAGGAAUUUGAAAAGUUGAUUAAAAUGAAAUUUUAGUGAAGAAAACUCAGUCUUAAGGGAAAUCUGAAAUGAGAAAAACGUUUUUAUUUGAAGACAGUGCAGUGUAUUUUGGGUUGCAAGCAUAAGUGAUUGCUUGAUGUUUAUUCUUCUUUCCAGAGCUGAAAAAUAAUAUUUUUGAGGAAAACAGCAACUAUUAAUGGAAUGCUACAUUUCUUUUUUUUAUUUAUUAUUUACUGUUGAUUAAAAAAAAUUAAUAGAGAUGGGGUCUCGCCAUGUUACCCAGGCUGGUUUCGAACUCCUAGGCUCAAUCAGUACUCCUGCCUCAGCCUCCCAGAGUGCUGGGAUUUAUAGGUGGGAGCCACCACGCCUGGCCUAGAAUGCUGUGUUUCACAUACGACCCAGAAACAGAGCUUCCAAGGUUUAAAACAUUAGAAAAUGGAAAAACCAUUAUUCUGGAGACCCAAAAAGUACAUCAUAUCAAAAUUAGAACAAAGGACAGUGUUGAUUUGUUUCUUUCGUAUAAUUAGCAAUGCUUCUGUACAGACUUUUUUUAAGUUGAAAUUUUUAUUAAGAUAAUUGUAAUUUCUCAUGCAGUUGUAAAAGGUAAUACAAAGGGAUCUCUUGUAUACUUUGCCCAGUUUCUUCCAAUGGUAGCAGUUUUGGGAAAUUUUUAUAACAUCACAACCAGAAUAUUGACAUCUGGUGUAGUACACCAGCCUUAUUAAAAUUCCCCAGUUUUAUUUUUAUUCAUUUGUGUGUAUAUGAAAUUUGGUACAAUUUUGUCAUUCAUAGGUUCAUGUAUCCACCACCAUAGUCAAUAUACAACAGUUCCAAGGAACAAGGACCCUUCAUGUUCUUUUGUAAUUAUAGCCUCCCGAUAUUUCUACACUCCAAACCUUGGAGCAAAACUGAAUCUCGAAAGAUAAAUGAAGUUUACCAGGAAAAGAAAACUGGGAUGAGGAGAGGAUUUACGAAGUAGCAUAUGCUAAACGAGAGACAUGAGAAAACAUGAUGAUCAGGGAUGUCAUGUAGACUGAAGACUUUGAUACUAAGAGGCAUUUUCACAAUUUUAUCCUGAAAGCAUAGAGAAAACAAAUCAACUUGUCAUUUUCAAAAACUUACCCUGGCUGUAAUCUCAAUAAAAGGACAUCUUUUAAAGUCAAGCUUUAUGAAAAAUUUA
This 1196-nucleotide long non-coding RNA is filed under the name Homo sapiens (human). RNAcentral's name for it is "HSALNT0301230". Lineage: Eukaryota; Metazoa; Chordata; Mammalia; Primates; Hominidae. The record is from RNAcentral.